This 147-nucleotide small RNA is filed under the name Papio anubis (olive baboon). Its description in RNAcentral is "Metazoan signal recognition particle RNA (ENSPANG00000050761.1)". The record is from Rfam by way of RNAcentral. Lineage: Eukaryota; Metazoa; Chordata; Mammalia; Primates; Cercopithecidae.
GCUGGGUGUGGUGGCGCGUGCCUGUAAUCCCAGCUACUCGGAGGCUGAGGCAGGAGAAUCGCUUGAACCCAGGAGGCAGAGCUUGCAGUGAGCCGAGAUCGUGCCACUGCACUCCAGCCUGGGUGACAGAGCGAGACUCCAUCUCAA